UACGAACUGCGCAAACGUUAUUCGGAAUCACUGGGCUUACAGGGUGCGUAGGCGGCCUUUCAGGUCAGGUGUGAAAUCCCACAGCUCAACUGUGGAACUGCAUUUGAAACCGAUUGGCUAGAGUGAGCUAGAGGUACACGGAACUUCCGGUGGAGCGGUGAUAUGUGUUGAUAUCGGAAGGAACACCAGAGGCGAAAGCGGUGUACUGGAGCUUGUCUGACGCUGAGGCACGAAAGCCAGGGGAGCGAACGGG
Molecule: ribosomal RNA, 253 nt
Filed under: uncultured bacterium
Lineage: Bacteria
Description: partial 16S ribosomal RNA
Rfam family: Bacterial small subunit ribosomal RNA
Source: RNAcentral